Long non-coding RNA from Macrosteles quadrilineatus (aster leafhopper), 226 nucleotides. RefSeq lists it as uncharacterized. The record is from RefSeq and is a predicted model, not a curated record. Lineage: Eukaryota; Metazoa; Arthropoda; Insecta; Hemiptera; Cicadellidae. The transcript is spliced from 3 exons.
GUAAUAGAGUGAAAACACGAAUUGAAGUUAUAAAAAAAUAGGGCCAUGACAUGAGGAUGGACGAAGAUGCUCUCUUCGCAAGGAUACUCAAUGACUCGUUGUUCACCAAAGAGCAACUGGAGUGUUUCUUGGGGAGACAUGAGGAGGAAGAGCGUCGCUCACAACAGACCAAGCCAGAAGUGUUGUGUCACCGAGUGUGGGACAAAUUGCUGUGUUGGCCUCCUAC